GGCCUCAUCGUCUAGUGGUUAGGACACGGCCCUUUCAAGGCCGCGGCAUGGGUUCGAGUCCCAUUGGGGUCA
Molecule: transfer RNA, 72 nt
Filed under: Planctomycetia bacterium
Lineage: Bacteria; Pseudomonadati; Planctomycetota; Planctomycetia
Description: tRNA-Glu
Rfam family: tRNA
About the family: Transfer RNA (tRNA) molecules are approximately 80 nucleotides in length. Their secondary structure includes four short double-helical elements and three loops (D, anti-codon, and T loops).
Source: RNAcentral